Long non-coding RNA from Dromaius novaehollandiae (emu), 4091 nucleotides. RefSeq lists it as uncharacterized. The record is from RefSeq and is a predicted model, not a curated record. NCBI's taxonomy places the organism in Eukaryota, Metazoa, Chordata, Aves, Casuariiformes, Dromaiidae. The transcript is spliced from 2 exons.
CCGCCGCCGCCGCCGCGCUCCCGGGAGGAGCCGGGAAAGUUGCGGCCGGAGCGAGCGCAACUUUGUGCCGCGCCGCCGCCGCCGCUCCUGCCCCCCGGCGGCGCCCGCGCGGGAGGCGGCGCGGCCCGGCCCUGCUGCAGCCCCGCUCCGGCCCCGCCACCCCCGCGGGCCGCCCGGCGCGGUGCGGUGCGGUGCGGUGCGGUGCGGCGCGGCGCGGGACAGCUGAUCGAUACGGCGCGGCCGGGCUCGCCGCGAGCCGGGCUACAGGUCUCACCAGCCAUCGCUGGCAGCAGCUUUGUCAUUUUCUAAAAAUAAGAAGCUAAAAGUUAUUGUAGAAGAAGGGGCUUUUUUUGUCCCCGGCACAAUAUGCCUUUUGUGAGUUUAAUGCCAUUCUGGGGCUCUCUAUAGCCCCGGACAAUGGGGAACUCCAGGAGGCGGCUGUGCCUCUGCCUUUUUUCUUUCUUGCUUUCUUUUCUCCCCCCCACCCCCUCCUCUUUUUUCCUCUUUUUUUUUUCCUUUUAGGAAAGGAUGCAACAUUCCUCCAGUCCCUGCAGAAUCUGUGGUUUGAUUAAAUAAAUAUUUCUCUAGUGUUACGGUAACAUUUUUCACUUUCAGUUCUGGUCCAUUUGUGAUUGUUAUUUAAAAUCUUUAUUUCCAGCAGCUUAUCGCUUUUCCCUCCCCGAUCCAGCCUUGGCGAAAAAUGUAGAUCGUCGCUGGGAAUGUGGGAUUUGGAAUUUGGGAGGUGAACCAGGAAAGAGACUAUCCGGGAUUCAGGAAUACGCUUUCUUCAUCUUUCUAUAAGAGCCUGUUUUAUUAUUGACACAAAGGCAGCUGAAUUAAUUCAUCUCUUUUUGAAAAUCUAAAGAAGCUUUUGGAAAUGUUUUUUUUUCUUCUUCUUCUUCUUUUUUUUAAUACUAACCCAAAUAAUUAACUUCCUGGUUUGUUUCGUAGCACUGAACACGGAUGCAGUUGCGGUCAGUUUUUCCAUUUGGGAGAACCUUAAUGUAGGUGUAUUUUAUACUGCAAGGUAAUAAACUGCAUGUUUGUUAGUAAAUAUUUUUAAUGAAAUGUAUCAAGCUUUCCAUUUUUCUCAGCAUGGGGGAAGAAGCCAUUUAAAAUUGUGACAAGUCCCUUCAGUGGGAUUGAGGAGGGGGGAUAAAAGCAGAGGAAAGGCUACCAGGAAUUGGGAGCAGCGCUGAAACGGUUGUUACUGGAAGCGUCUUGCGUUUGGAGGAUAUUCACAGGUUGUAAUAAUCGAGGUUUAAUAUGUACCUUAGUUAUCUGAGUAUUUUAAGCGCAGCACUGCUGUGCACUACUGUAACGCGCACGCUGUAUAUGAGUUUGCACAGUCUGCUAAAGGGAGAGACGCAGGUACGCUUGCAGCUCGCCUUAAAAACUGCCCUUAAAAAGCUGCCGUUCCCUGCACAAAACUAUCUGCCCAGCUCUGCUGGCAGAGCAGCCCUAACGCUACCUGCCCUUCCAGGGACAACCAGCAGCCCUGGGCAGGCAGAACCGCGCGGGCUGCUCGCGCUGUCCGUAAAGGUGAACGUAAUCUGCAACUGUUCUUACUAAAUACGAAACGAGCGUGGCUGGAUGGCGAUGGGGAGAGGAGACUAAAGUCACCUUUGCCUUUCAACGCUCGCUGUAACUCGUAGGACGCGCACGCUCUCACCAGGGCGGUAGGUCCCGCGGACCCGUCCGGGAGCGGGUGCCGCCUGCGUACACGCGUUUCGUGGAGUGCAGAAGUGGGGAAGGUGUGGGGAAGGUGACAGGCAGCCCGAACGCCACCGCCGACACUCGGCACCAGGCACCCCGGACGCAGCGCGCGCAAACGCAGAGGGUCGAGCAGGCGCCUUCCUUUUCCCUGCGUUGUGAAUCCUAGUUUUGUGCUGCUGUCCUUUAAUUUCCCAUGACAACAUAUGGAUCCCAUAAACGCAAACAUGCCGGAGCGCAUCUGUCUGGGCAGUUAACACAAACCAAACGUCCCCUUUUCGGCGGCUCCGCUGUCCCCGUGGCUCUGCCGCGCUCCCCUUCGCGGCCGUCCCCGCCGCGCCGGCAUUCUUGUCCGUUCACGCUCCGGCGGCGAUCCGGCGUGCCCGGCGGGGAGGAGGGCGGCCGGCGCGGGGCCGGAGCCCCUCGCCGAGGCAGCCAAGGGUUAAGCGGCCGGGCGAGGGGCGAGCCGGCGCGUCCCCGUCCCCGUCCCCGCUCGCUGGGGGAGCCCGCUCCGCGGUGGGAGGCUCUGCGCCGGGGUCAAGUCCUAGGGCAUGGUCCUUCCCCUUCCGCGAGGGCACGGCCGCGGCGGGAGCCGGGCAGAGCGACGGGGCCGCGCCGAGGGGACGGCGCCGGUUUGCCCCUCGUCCGGACCACGGACGCUGAGGAGGGGAAGAGCUCCCCUUCCCACCGGGGCGCCGAGAGAGGCGGUGGGGUCUGCGCGAGAAAACGGAGACAAACAAGCAGCAACCGCGGGACUGGCCACGUAAACCACGCACGAAGAUCAACGUACAUCUAAGGAAUUAGGGAAUAAUCUGUACAGUAACUGUUAGGAACAGCAUUCAAACAUGUACGGUUCUUGUCCAGAAAAUUUAGUUCCAUUAAGAUUUCUUUGUUCUGGGCAAAAGGACAACCGAGUUGCGAAAAUACAAGAAGGGACUACCCUUGCUUUAAUUAGCGAUCUUGAAACAACCUGAUCUGUAAUGCUAUGGAUGCCUCUUAUUUCUGUAUAUGUACCUCUACAUAUACAUAGACAGGAUUUUUGGUUCAAAUACCUUUUAAUGUGCUCAGUAGAAAGAAGCUCUCAGUACAGUAUCAGAUCUGCAGGAAAAAUUAGACAGAUUUUUCCCAUAGGAAACAUGUUAAAGACAGCUGAAUUAUUAGAUUAACCCUAUUUUUUGUCUUGCAGCGUAGCUGAUACAUUUGUGCAUAGAAACAUGCAGUUUCAUUUAUGCACUAUUUUGAACAGAUGGAACUAAUACCGGUGCUUGAAAGGAGACUUGCCAUUUGUUAGAACGUAUAGAGACUACGAGGAACAACUUGGCUGCAAAACGUUUAACUUUUGGACUGAGCUCCGGAGAAGACGUUGUCACUUUGACGGGCAGCGCGGGUAGGUGCCCGCAGGCCCCCGCCGCCCUGCCAGGACACGGCCCUGCUCCGGAAACGUGACCUGGCUCCUCAGGACGGGGAAGCCGCGUCCCGAGGCACGAGCGGGCCAGAUUUGCAUACGGCCGCGGUGAAAACAGUUGACUACAGUGAAUUUUUAGGGAGCCACAACCGUAUCACGUUUCUCUGCCGUCAAACCGGCUGCAUGCUAUCUCUUCCCGCUUGGGAAUAUGGGGGAAUCGGACAAAACCUUUAAAGUAGAAGAGGUCUAUUGGACCGUCCACUAAAUUGAUGCUACAGACUAAUGUAUGGAUGUGGCAUGCAUAUACUAAGAAAAAAGUUUGAGGUUAUCUUUUUAAAGUCAGGCUUAAAAAAAUCAUUCUGAAGAGAAAUCCUGCUCAGAAAAGAAAAUCUCUGUCAUAUCAUCCAUUUACGUAGCUUUGUGCUUCUUGGAAAUAUGUCUAAAGAAUUAGAACAAAGCGCAGAAGGCCAGAGUCCUUGAAGUAGCUCCAAAUGAUAAAGUCUGCCAUUCAUUUUAAACACAGCAUGCAUUGUGAAAACACAGGUCAAUUUGAAGGCAUUUGUCAGAUUUCCAGUUCCCUCUUCUCCUUUGCAAUGGAAAUUUGCAAUCAAAUCCCUGCACUAGACUUGGGAAGCCUGGCUUUAUCAGUUUUACUGCUGUACUCAAAGCGUUGCUCAGGCCUUAACACAAGAUGACUAGAUGUGUUUUUGAUGGAAACAAACACUUGGAAUACGACUAUGUUUCUUUGCUUUUUUAAAGAAAGGAAGAAAAAGUCUUGGCAUUUAAUUAGGACUCGCUAACCUGAUAAAUAUUGAACAUCAUUUCUUUGUGAGCUGUUGCUUGUGCUCAGAGUACUCCGUGGAUGUAUUCCACAAUCGCACUUGUUUAGUGCCUGUAUCACCUCAUGCCUAUUGUAUUUAUGUUGUCAUCAAUGUCAGAUUUUAAUUAAACAAUUAAAUCAUUGUCACAGUAA